CAGUCGAACGAAGCAUUAAGAGGAAGUUUUCGGAUGGAAUCUUAAUUGACUGAGUGGCGGACGGGUGAGUAACGCGUGGAUAACCUGCCUCAUACAGGGGGAUAACAGUUAGAAAUAGCUGCUAAUACCGCAUAAGCGCACAGCUUCGCAUGAAGCGGUGUGAAAAACUCCGGUGGUAUGAGAUGGAUCCGCGUCUGAUUAGCUAGUUGGUAAGGUAACGGCUUACCAAGGCGACGAUCAGUAGCCGACCUGAGAGGGUGACCGGCCACAUUGGGACUGAGACACGGCCCAAACUCCUACGGGAGGCAGCAGUGGGGAAUAUUGCACAAUGGGGGAAACCCUGAUGCAGCGACGCCGCGUGAGUGAAGAAGUAUUUCGGUAUGUAAAGCUCUAUCAGCAGGGAAGAUAAUGACGGUACCUGACUAAGAAGCCCCGGCUAACUACGUGCCAGCAGCCGCGGUAAUACGUAGGGGGCAAGCGUUAUCCGGAAUCACUGGGCGUAAAGGGUGCGUAGGUGGUUUUGUAAGUCUGAGGUAAAAGGUCACGGCUCAACCGUGGUAAGCCUUGGAAACUGCAAAACUUGAAUGCAGGAGAGGAAAGUGGAAUUCCUAGUGUAGCGGUGAAAUGCGUAGAUAUGUGGAGGAAUACCGAUGGCGAAGGCAGCCCCCUGGGAUAAUACUGACGCUCAGACACGAAAGCGUGGGGAGCAAACAGGAUUAGAUACCCUGGUAGUCCACGCCCUAAACGAUGUCAACUAGCUGUUGGGGCCGUU
This 772-nucleotide ribosomal RNA is filed under the name uncultured bacterium. RNAcentral's name for it is "bacterial SSU rRNA". It matches the Rfam family "Bacterial small subunit ribosomal RNA", at positions 59 to 833 of the family's 1533-position model. The record is from RNAcentral.